GGAAGUUAAGAAACUGUUUCUUAGCUUUUAACUAAAAAAACUAAGAACCGGUUCUUAAAUAAGGACUUUAAGAACCGGUUCUUAGUUUUUUUAGUUAAAAGUUAAAGAAACGAGUUCUUAUAUUCC
Molecule: non-coding RNA, 126 nt
Organism: Brassica napus (rape)
Lineage: Eukaryota; Viridiplantae; Streptophyta; Magnoliopsida; Brassicales; Brassicaceae
Source: Rfam